Long non-coding RNA from Hippocampus zosterae (dwarf seahorse), 1312 nucleotides. RefSeq lists it as uncharacterized. The record is from RefSeq and is a predicted model, not a curated record. The transcript has 2 exons. NCBI's taxonomy places the organism in Eukaryota, Metazoa, Chordata, Actinopteri, Syngnathiformes, Syngnathidae.
UAACUAACCCCUUCGACCUUCCACCUUAGAAAAACAAAAGAGGCUCAAUUUUAAAAAAACAAACAAAACACUUGUGGUAUUUUUGCUGUUCUUAAAAAUAAAGUGUUUCAAGUGACACAGUAUGCUUUGCGUUCUCACAGGACUGACACUCUUAUUUUUAUUUCUUUCUUUUUUUUCAAAUGUCAAUUUCCAUCUUAAAAUGCAAAGACCGAACGAUGCGUGGGUUGAAAAUACAGCUUGAUGAUGACAUUCCGGGAGCCUCCGCUCCAGUGGGGGGCAGUGUGGGGCUUUUUGAGUCAUCCUCUCCGGGCUGUAGCUUAAACCCCCCCCCCCUGCUCGGAUCAUAGCAGCACUGCAGGGAGACAUGCCGGCGCUGUGAUCAUUACAUCGGAGGGUGGGGGGGUGGGGGGCGAGCGAGCCGAGGGCAAGACGGGAGGCGUACGAUGCAAUGCAGCAGGCCGCACGGAGGAAGACCGCGCUGACAUUUAUUCCGCAGCUGAGGGCGCCUGCCGCUUAGAGGCGGGGAGUCGCAGAGGCCGCUAGAAAGCGAUUAGCUCCAAACCUCCCGUUCCCUCCACACAAACCGCAGUGCGAUGCUUUCUGCGGUCAAAACAGAAAUGAACCUGGGACUUUUUGGGACAAGCACAGUCUUGCGGGGGUCUCCCUUCCACCAUGAAAGCCUAAAUGACCCCCGAAGGUGUUUUAAAUGUGAGGUCUUCAAUUUGCCCCAAGUGCUCUUAACAAGGAAAAUCCCAUCUCUAUAUUCAGUACCAAAAAAAAAACUAGUUAGGUGACCACUUUUCAAACAGUUACUUGAAGAUCAUUCCUAUGUGAUGACUACAAAAAUAAGCCACGGAGCAAAAAGUGGAAGAAAUGACCGUAUUUUUGCCCCCUAAAACCGAACGACCUUUAUUUACUACCGUGUUUUUGUUUUUUUAAAUCAUAAAUGGUUUUUAAACUCAGCUCGUGGUCCAUGUCAAAGGUCAUUGUUAGUGUUUACUUAUUUAUUUUUGGCCAUGUCGCGGGCCGCAGAAAAAUGGAUGGCGGGCCGCAGAUGGCCCCCGGGCCGCAGUUGUUUUAGUCUUCUCUUGAUGUUUUUUUUUUAAGACCACGCAGAGACAGACACCUUGUGUUCCCUACAAGGGGGUUCAGUGUUUAUUCAUCGUCAGGACUUGAUGCAUCCAAGUUCAGAAUCAUUCAGUUUUGGCACCUUGAAAGACAUUACGCUUGUUCCGUUUUGUUUUGUUUUCUGUUUCUUUGAAAUCGUCAUUUACAACAAUACAAUGCAAGAACCAAAGGACAAGAAAACCCC